UCCUCUUGAAAACUGCCUUCUCGAAGUCCA
RNAcentral lists this non-coding RNA (30 nucleotides) under Homo sapiens (human). Lineage: Eukaryota; Metazoa; Chordata; Mammalia; Primates; Hominidae. The record is from RNAcentral.